GUUAGUCUGUUUGGAAAAGGGGAGAGAUGUGACGAGACCAAUCUCGCCACAUUGCAUUGGAGAAGCCUGGUUGCUCGCCUGCUGCCUUUGGACUAUGGCCCCCUGUUAAAAGACAUCUUUUUUACCUGCAGAAAAGCUUCAGUCGUGCUUUUCUGCCUGGGUUUCAGUAGAUUUGUUUGAAUGUGUUACACCCCAGAUAGGAAUCCCAUGGAGCCCAUUCGUAUGAAACUGACUGUAAAGACUUUGGCUCCAUGGUGAUUAAACUGUAUUUGUGUGUGGUCCGAGCGCCAUUCACUUAAUAAUGUGCGCUCAGACCUGAGCUAUCUGGGGAUAUGUGAAAUGUCUGUGUUUUAUGUAUAAAUGUGACUUUAUGUAUUUUAAAGUGCUUUGUGUCUUUUUGCAACCAUGUGCUUAAUGGAGUCUUGUGUCUGUCCUGGGAGAUAAUUGAAUUACUUAUC
This is a non-coding RNA of Pelobates cultripes (western spadefoot toad), 458 nucleotides long. The record is from the annotation of a GenBank genome assembly. Lineage: Eukaryota; Metazoa; Chordata; Amphibia; Anura; Pelobatidae.